Non-coding RNA from Picea glauca (white spruce), 121 nucleotides. NCBI's taxonomy places the organism in Eukaryota, Viridiplantae, Streptophyta, Pinopsida, Pinales, Pinaceae. The record is from Rfam.
ACAUGCCUACAGCAUAGCAUUAAUGCACCAGAUCCCAUUAGAACUAUGUAGUUAAGCGUGCUCAGGCUAGAGUAGUACUGAGAUGAGUGACCGCCCAGGAAGUCCUAGUAUUUUACAUGCC